Molecule: small nuclear RNA, 22 nt
Filed under: Arabidopsis thaliana (thale cress)
Lineage: Eukaryota; Viridiplantae; Streptophyta; Magnoliopsida; Brassicales; Brassicaceae
Description: snRNA_03447
Source: RNAcentral
UUUAUAAAUUAUGUGUAUGAUG